CACAAGCAGUGGAGUAUGUGGUUUAAUUCGAAGCAACGCGAAGAACCUUACCAGGGCUUGACAUGGGGAUGACCGCUCUAGAGAUAGAGUUUUCUCUUCGGAGACAUCCCACACAGGUGGUGCAUGGUUGUCGUCAGCUCGUGUCGUGAGAUGUUGGGUUAAGUCCCGCAACGAGCGCAACCCUUAUUGUUAGUUGCUACGCAAGAGCACUCUAGCGAGACUGCCGUUGACAAAACGGAGGAAGGUGGGGACGACGUCAAAUCAUCAUGCCCUUUAUGUCCUGGGCUACACACGUACUACAAUGGCGGACAUACAGAGGGAAGCAAGACAGCGAUGUGGAGCAAAUCCCUAAAAGCCGUCUCAGUUCAGAUUGCAGGCUGCAACCCGCCUGCAUGAAGUCGGAAUUGCUAGUAAUCGCGGAUCAGCAUGCCGCGGUGAAUACGUUCCCGGGCCUUGUACACACCGCCCGUCACACCAUGAGAGUCGGAAACACCCGAAGCCUGUAGCCCAACCGCAAGGGGGGCGCAGUCGAAGGUGGGUCUGAUAAUUGGGGUGAAGUCGUAACAAGGUAACCGU
Molecule: ribosomal RNA, 576 nt
Filed under: uncultured bacterium
Lineage: Bacteria
Description: bacterial SSU rRNA
Rfam family: Bacterial small subunit ribosomal RNA
Source: RNAcentral